GCUAUGGCUCCAUCUGCCGGUGGAGUUAGGAACCCCACCCCGAAACUCCGAGCAUCCCCCUCACACCUGAAACUCAUCAGGGUAUGACGACCUGAAGGCCUUCAAAAGGGCGGGAGACACACCAUUGAGGGGAGAGACGGACAUUGGCAGGGUGUGGAAAAUGUUCCAGAAGAUGGCGGGUAAAGGAGGAUAUGUGGAAAUACCAGUGUUGGGGGUGGGGGAUGCAAUUGCUAUGACGGGUAAGAAAAAGGCGGAUGCGUUGGGGGUAGCAUUUGCGAUGGUUCACAGUGGCGAGCACCUAUGUGAGGAGAGCAAGAGGAGGAGCUGUGAGAUGUGUUGCAUAAGAAGGCAGGGACGGAGGAGGUGAUGGAUGCGGAAUUCACUAAGUUUGAGCUGACAAGGGCACUGGUGGGAUGCAGGCGUUCGGCACCGGGAGAAGAUAGGGUAUGCUAUGAGAUGGUGAAGAAGGCCCCUGAUAAUGUAAUGGAAGCUAUAGUAGGGCUGUUUAACAAGGUGUGGAGGACUGGGGUGCUGCCAGACGGGUGGAAACAGGCGGUAGUACUGCCGUUGGCUAAACCGGGUAAAGAUCCAGGGAAGGUGGAUAGCUAUAGACCAAUAGCUUUGACCUCAAACUUAUGUAAACUGAUGGAAAAGAUGAUCGUGAAAAGAUUGAUAUUCUACCUGGAAAGUAAGGGAUUGAUGAGUGAAGCACAGAGUGGGUUCAGGAGAGUAAGGUCUACUAUGGAUGCACUGGUGGUGACCUUGUACUCAACCCUGCGUGAGACAGGAAGCCAGUGGAGUGAUUUGAGGAUGGGGGUGAUGUGCUCAUGUUUGCGCACCCUCAACAGGAUCCUAGGAGCGCUGUUCUGUAUAUACUUUUUAACCUGGUGUCCUCUCACUACUUUAACUACCCCGGUGAGAGCGGCGGCGCCUCUCGUGACAUCACAUAUGGUGGAGGAUGCAGGUUCAAGCGGAAUUAGUGCAUGUCAGAGGAGGACACCGAAAGUUUGAUUCGACACUUUUCCAGAUUGACCGUGGGCCCCCCAAUUAACAAAAUGGAAGAAAUUUUGAAAACCCUUAUUGCUGGCCAGCAAUCCCAGAUGCAAACCAAUUUGGCUCUCUUGGAAGAACAAAAGAAAGCCAACCUUCUGAAGGCGGAGGAAUUACAGUUGCAGAAACAGAUGGCCAACUGGAAUGUACACCCAAUAAAGACCCAGAGGACUGCUGGACAUUACGAAGGAAGCCUGGGAGGAGCAGCCAUGCCAACAGCGGACCCUGAUCGAGCAUGUCGGGGCCAUGAGGGCGAGAAUGAAGGCCAUCUAUCCCAUGAUCCAGGGAGACACGGCAACAGCAAGCCACCUACAACCGGUCGGCGCAACCCAGAGUGUUUUAGCCGGGCGACAAAGUGCUGGUCCUGGUGCCAACCACAGAGUGUAAAUUACUGGCUACUUGGCAAGGACCAUAUGAGGUCAUGGACGUGUGGGAGAAGUAAACUACAAGGUAAGGCAACCUGGAAAAAGAACCUGAGCAAAUUUAUCACGUUAACCUCUUAAAGAAGUGGCACGCCAUGGAGGUGCUGUUCAGCUGUCCAAGGAACCGGUGCGAGAAGAGGUGCAGGUGGGUCCCGGCCUGUCCCCCAUCAACGGCAGUUGGCCCGGGAACUGGUGGACCGUAACCCGGAUGUUUUCUCCUCUCUUCCCGGGCACACGGCGGUGACCCAGCACGAGAUACGCACCGUGCCGGGCAAAACGGUGAACCAGCACCGUACCGUGUGCCGGAGGCUCAUAAGGGGGCCAUUCAGGAGGAGGUAAGGAAGAUGUUGGAGCUGGGAGUGAUUGAGGAAUCCCAAAGCGCCUAUCCAAUGCCUCGUGUCGAUGAUCUGGUAGACUCCUUAGGAUAUGCUCGCUUCAUAACCACGGUCAACCUCACAAAAGGCUACUGGCAGGUGCCCCUGACCCCGGCAGUCUAAGGAGAAGACUGCCUUGGCCACACAGGAGGGGAACUACCAGUAUACCCGGCUCCCCUUUGAUCUCCACGGGGCACCGGCCACGUUCCAGUGCUUGAUGGUUCAGAGGUGGGUCUGGGUGUGGUACUCGCCCAGACACGUGAGGGGGAGGAACACCCUAUCCUCUACAUAAGCAGGAAGUUACUUCCAAGAGAACUAUUCCACGGUGGAAAAGGAAUGCUUCGCAGUUACCUGGGCCCUGGAAUCCCUAUGGUUCUACGUCCUGGGCCGACGGUUUACGGUGGUGUCGGAUCAUGCCCCUAUGCAGUGGAUGGCCAAGAACAAGGAAACAAACAAACCAUAUGAUUACUAGGUGGUUCUUGAGUUUACAAGCCUUUAACUUUUUUGUUGUCCACAGGGCUGGCAAGAGCCACAGCAACGCGGAUGCACUCUUCAGACGUGACUCCUUCUGCACCUCCUUCACCCAGUCUCGCGGGGGGGGAGGGAGGAGGUAGGGAGGAGGCUGGGUCUUUGAAGGGAGAUCCGUUCACCGGAGAGGGCUGUAACUGCUAUGGCUCCAUCUGCCGGUGGAGUUAGGAACCCCACCCCGAAACUCCGAGCAUCCCCCUCACACCUGAAACUCAUCGGGGUAUGACGACCUGAAGGCCUUCAUAAGGGGCGGGAGACACACCAUUGAGGGGAGAGAGACGAGCUGCAGGUUGGGCCCGCUGCAGAAGACCAGACCAAUGCAGGAGGAUUCCCGGGGGCAGGCCGUUGGAGAAGACGGUAUAUUGUCUUGAGGGAGGUGGAUUUACGAUUCCCCUCCAAAGACGAGGCAUUGUUUAAGUUUUACCGGCGAAGAGCGACCAAAGCCUGAGUUACCUGUUUUGACUACUGUUUUCUGUUUAAUCUGAAGGAUGUGAAUUAAACGUUUGUUUACAUAUUUGAA
Molecule: long non-coding RNA, 2894 nt
Organism: Gasterosteus aculeatus aculeatus (three-spined stickleback)
Lineage: Eukaryota; Metazoa; Chordata; Actinopteri; Perciformes; Gasterosteidae
Source: Ensembl